Molecule: ribosomal RNA, 500 nt
Filed under: uncultured bacterium
Lineage: Bacteria
Description: partial 16S ribosomal RNA
Rfam family: Bacterial small subunit ribosomal RNA
Source: RNAcentral
GACGAACGCUGGCGGCGUGCUUAACACAUGCAAGUCGAACGGGCCUGUCUUCUUUUUUGGGGGGUGGGUUGAGUGGCGAACGGGUGAGUAUCACGUGAGUAACCUGCCCUUCGGUCCUGGAUAACCGCUUGAAAGGGCGGCUAAUACGGGGUGGUCCGGUUGGUCCGCAUGGGCUGGUCGGGAUAGAUUCACUGUUGUUGGUGUUUCGGCGGGGGAUGGGCUCGCGGCCUAUCAGCUUGUUGGUGGGGUGAUGGCCUACCAAGGCGGUGACGGGUAGCCGGCCUGAGAGGGUGGGCGGCCACACUGGGACUGAGAUACGGCCCAGACUCCUGCGGGAGGCAGCAGUGGGGGGUAUUGCACAAUGGGCGGAAGCCUGAUGCAGCGACGUCGCGUGAGGGAUGGAGGCCUUCGGGUUGUGAACCCCUGUUUCCGGUGGUGAAGGCCCUGUCCGUGUGGUGGGGUUGACGGUAGCCGGGGAUGAAGCGCCGGCUAACUACGUG